RNAcentral lists this ribosomal RNA (406 nucleotides) under uncultured bacterium. RNAcentral describes it as "partial 16S ribosomal RNA". It matches the Rfam family "Bacterial small subunit ribosomal RNA", at positions 29 to 526 of the family's 1533-position model. The record is from RNAcentral.
AUUGAACGCUGGCGGCAGGCCUAACACAUGCAAGUCGAACGAGUGGCAGACGGGUGAGUAAUGUCUGGGAAACUGCCUGAUGGAGGGGGAUAACUACUGGAAACGGUAGCUAAUACCGCAUACCAUCAGAUGUGCCCCGAUGGGAUUAGCUAGUUGGGGGGGUAACGGCUCACCAAGGCGACGAUCCCUAUCUGGGCUGAGAGGAUGACCAGCCACACUGGAACGAAGAAACGGUCCAGAAUCCGACGGGAGGCAGCGGUGGGGAAGAUUGCACAAUGGGCGCAAGCCUGAUGCAGCCAUGCCGCGGGUAUGAAGAAGGCCUGCGGGUUGUAAAGUACUGUCAGCGGGGAGGCGUGACCCGCAGAAGAAGCACCGGCUAACUCCGUGCCAGCCGCCGCGGUAAUUC